CGGGCAAUUUUUACAGGGUGCACAAUGUACACAGCUGCUUCGAGCCUUUUCGCGAGAUUUUAAUGCGGAUAUAAGAUUUUUCGGCAUCACUCUGGCUUGAAGGCUUAAUAAGCACAGCAACUUCGCUUGUAUUAGAUCAAAUCAAUCUGUAAAAUCAAGGAAGCCUUCAAGUUCCGUCUCCGGAAUUUCCGACAUCACGACACUAGAUGUCUGUUUGGUGCCAGAGGGUGUAAUCAGCAGGUGUAAUCAGCAGGUGUCGCUCAUGACCAUAAACCCUCCACCCUCCCUCCCCUGGAGAUUCAUUUAAAAGCGUUCGUUUUGAUAAAUAAAGCAUUUAAUGG
Nematostella vectensis (starlet sea anemone) is the source of this 341-nucleotide long non-coding RNA. RefSeq lists it as uncharacterized. The transcript is spliced from 3 exons. The record is from RefSeq and is a predicted model, not a curated record. Lineage: Eukaryota; Metazoa; Cnidaria; Anthozoa; Actiniaria; Edwardsiidae.